GACGAACGCUGGCGGCGUGCCUAAUACAUGCAAGUAGGACGCACUUGCGAACGGGUUAGUAACGCGUAGGUGACUACCUAUUAGAGGGGGAUAACUAUUGGCAACGAUAGCUAAUACCGCAUACUAGUAGAUGGACCUGCGUUGUAUUAGCUAGUAGGUAGGGUAAUGGCCUACCUAGGCAACGAGACAUAGCCUACCCGGGAGGGUGGUCGGGCACAAGGGGGACGAGACACGGGCCCGACUUCCUACGGAGGCAGGAGUAGGGCAAUUUCGGCAAUUGGGGGAACCCUGACCGAGCAAAGCCGCGUGAGUGAAGAAGGUUUUCGGAUUGGAAAGCUCUGUUCUUUAGGAAGCGGUACUUAACCAGAAAGGAACGGCUAACUACGUGCCAGCAGCCGCGGUAAUUC
This 407-nucleotide ribosomal RNA is filed under the name uncultured bacterium. RNAcentral describes it as "partial 16S ribosomal RNA". It matches the Rfam family "Bacterial small subunit ribosomal RNA", at positions 28 to 526 of the family's 1533-position model. The record is from RNAcentral.